This 833-nucleotide small RNA is filed under the name Pan troglodytes (chimpanzee). RNAcentral's name for it is "retained intron". Lineage: Eukaryota; Metazoa; Chordata; Mammalia; Primates; Hominidae. The record is from RNAcentral.
AGUGUUUCCAUCGCUUUCAACUUCCUGGGAACAGAGAACAUGAAGAGUGGCGACCACACGGCAGCCUUUUCUUAUUUCCAGAAAGCUGCAGCCCGCGGCUACAGCAAAGCGCAGUACAAUGCGGGCUUGUGUCAUGAGCAUGGCAGAGGCACCCCCAGGGACAUUAGCAAGGCGGUCCUUUAUUAUCAGUUGGCUGCCAGUCAGGGCCACAGCCUGGCUCAGUACCGCUAUGCCAGGUGCCUACUACGAGACCCAGCCUCUUCGUGGAACCCUGAGCGGCAGAGGGCAGUGUCCUUGCUGAAGCAGGCUGCAGACUCAGGCUUGAGAGAGGCCCAAGCUUUCCUCGGGGUGCUUUUCACCAAGGAGCCCUACCUGGAUAAGCAGAGAGCUGUGAAAUAUCUUUGGCUUGCAGCCAACAAUGGGGUAUGCGAUCUCAGUGGACAAGCAUGUUGGGGAUGAAGCCUGAUAAGAGAAGGGAUUUUGGAACUGGUACUGAGUUCUUCUGUUCUUAGGAGAUUGUUGGAUAGGAGCCUUGGCCUGGCUUCAAGCCUUAGCGCUCACUGACUUACUGUGUGACCGUUGGGCAGUUGCAGUAGCACGCCAGAGCUGGCUUGCACCAGGCUGUGAGAGCUGUUGGCAGCUUAAAAUCUGCUAUGGUGGGAAUAUUUGCACCACAGAAAUUGCUAAAUGCCAUAAAACAGGGCUUUUUCCCUCCUCGAGAGCCAGUUGUUCAACAUUUACCAGCACACUACUGGGCCUGGUCACUUCUUGAUUCAAACCUGUUUCCUCGUCUUUAAAAUCAGAAUAAUAAUGCUUGCCUUACCUGUCCAGUA